CUCUAGAGAUAGAGUGGAGGUUAUCCGGGAUACAGGUGGUGCAUGGUUGUCGUCAGCUCGUGUCGUGAGAUGUUGGGUUAAGUCCCGCAACGAGCGCAACCCUUGUCUUUAGUUACCAUCAUUCAGUUGGGGGACUCUAGAGAGACUGCCGGUGAUAAACCGGAGGAAGGUGGGGAUGACGUCAAAUCAUCAUGCCCCUUAUGGCCUGGGCUACAAACGUAAUACAAUGGCGUAUACAAAGGGAUGCGAAAGGGCGACCUGGAGCAAAACUCACAAAGUACGUCUCAGCUCAGAUUGGAGUCUGCAACUCGACUCCAUGAAGGCGGAAUCGCUAGUAAUCGCGGAUCAGCAUGCCGCGGUGAAUACGUUCUCGGGGUUU
RNAcentral lists this ribosomal RNA (379 nucleotides) under uncultured Erysipelothrix sp. Its description in RNAcentral is "bacterial SSU rRNA". It matches the Rfam family "Bacterial small subunit ribosomal RNA", at positions 998 to 1382 of the family's 1533-position model. The record is from RNAcentral. Lineage: Bacteria; Bacillati; Bacillota; Erysipelotrichia; Erysipelotrichales; Erysipelotrichaceae.